CCAAAGGCUCUUUUAAGAGCCACCCACUUUCUCACAGAAUUGCUGU
Monodelphis domestica (gray short-tailed opossum) is the source of this 46-nucleotide regulatory RNA element. It matches the Rfam family "Histone 3' UTR stem-loop". Rfam says of the family: The mRNAs of metazoan histone genes lack a poly-A tail. 3' end processing occurs at a site between a highly conserved stem-loop (modelled by this family) and a purine rich region around 20 nts downstream (the histone downstream element, or HDE). NCBI's taxonomy places the organism in Eukaryota, Metazoa, Chordata, Mammalia, Didelphimorphia, Didelphidae. The record is from Rfam.